Molecule: long non-coding RNA, 889 nt
Filed under: Physcomitrium patens
Lineage: Eukaryota; Viridiplantae; Streptophyta; Bryopsida; Funariales; Funariaceae
Description: long non-coding RNA (PPAT_LNC004490)
Source: RNAcentral
AUUGGAGAAGGAGGCCGGCCAAUACCUGAGCACAUUUAUGAAGAUAUCGUCAAUUUGGUAACUCCGAUUCUUAUAAAAAAAAAUUGUUUAUUUUUAACUUAUUUUUUUAGAAGUGUGCAAAUUUUUAGUUAAGAUCAACAGUUUAUUCAUUAGUUAUUGAUGUUUAAAUCUAUUGUGGGAAUUAUUAGGAUUUGGUUAGGAUUUGGUUCAGGGUUUAGGGUUUGGAUUAGGGUUUGAUUUAGGGUUUGGUUUAGGAUUUGGAUUAGGAUUUGAUUUAGGAUUUGGUUUAGGAUUUAGGAUUUGGAUAGGGUUUGGUUUAGGGUUUAGAAUUUAGCUUAAGAUUUGGUUUAGAAUUUAGGAUUUGGAUUGGAAUUUGGUUAGGGAUUAAGAUUUGAUUAAGAUUUGGUUUAGGGUUUAAGAUUUGAUUAGAGUUUGGUUAGGGAUUAAUAUUUGAUUAGGUUUUGAUUUAGGAUUUAGGAUUUGGUUUAGGGUUUAGGAUUUGGAUUAGGGUUUGGUUUAGGAUUUAGGAUUUGGAUAGGAUUUGGUUUUGGGUUUAGGAUUUGGAUUAGGAUUUGAUUUAGGAUUUAGGAUUUGGAUUAGGAUUUGGUUUAGGAUUUAGGAUUUGGAUUAGGAUUUGAUUAGGGAUUAAGGUUUGAUUAGGAUUUGAUUUAAGAUUUAGGAUUUGUCUAGGGUUGGAUUAGGAUUAGGAUUUGGUUAGAAUUUAAGGUUCUAUUAGAUUUUUGUUAGGAUUUGACUAAGUUUUCUUUAAUAUUCUUUUAUAUUUCUUUAGGAUUUUUUUGUGUUUCUUUUAUAACUUCAAUAAAAUUUAAUUGAGCUUGCUUAAUGUUUGAUUAUGAUUAUUAACGUUUAAUUAUAAAUUCUUUAUAAU